Molecule: long non-coding RNA, 770 nt
Organism: Podarcis raffonei (Aeolian wall lizard)
Lineage: Eukaryota; Metazoa; Chordata; Lepidosauria; Squamata; Lacertidae
Exons: 4
Source: RefSeq, a predicted model, not a curated record
AAAAAAGUAUCAGAGUGGUGUGAAGCGUUUUCAGAGUACCUUGUAUUGCUGGACUUGAUGUUUUAAGUUCAAGACUGUAGAUCCACAGAGCAAUGGGCAAUGUUGGCUGCAAUCGUGGGGAAGAGUCUUGCGGUACCUUAAAGAUCAGCAGACUGUGCUUUGACAAUUUCCUGCUCACACUGACUAUCUGCAGGGAACCCAAGCAAAUGGCUAGCAGGAAGGUCACUUGCAUCCUUUUCUUUGUUUUCGUGGAACCAUUGCCUAAUGUAAAUACAGUAAAAGUUCUAUCAGCUGGGGAGACUUGUUCCCUUCUUUGAAGCUAGCUCUUGUUUCUCUGAAGUCAGAUUCCUUAUUCCCAGGGCUCCACUCUGCAAUGCCAGCACAAACAUACAUCAGCAGCUGCACAGCACUUUCCAGAGUUAGCAAGAAGCUAUCAAGCAAUUACUUAUUCCACUUUAGAUCCAUGACCGUGAUUUUACACCACAGGUCUGAGAAAAUCAAAGACAAUGAGUAAAGUCAACAGUUGCAGAAAGCAAGGUCAUGUGGACAAAGAAAUGGACUACACCUGACUGUAUUUAAUUUGAACGAUAAUAUUUGAUAAGAUGCCACACUAUAACCCCAGUGAAAAUGUUGUGUUGAAUAGUUUGGGUAAGGCAUUGUCUUAAUUUUUCAACCUUGGCUACUAUUGUGGUCUCCAGUUUAGGGGGGGGGGAAGCAUCUAUAGUGGUGUGGCGGCCUUUGUAUGUGCCUACCACAUAGAUGAGUGAUGU